This 52-nucleotide microRNA precursor is filed under the name Equus asinus (donkey). Its description in RNAcentral is "mir-1302 microRNA precursor family". It matches the Rfam family "mir-1302 microRNA precursor family". RNAcentral also lists the same sequence under 1 other name. Lineage: Eukaryota; Metazoa; Chordata; Mammalia; Perissodactyla; Equidae. The record is from Rfam by way of RNAcentral.
UUUUUGGUAUGAGUAAGUCCCAUGCGAUAUUUGGGACAUACUUAUACUAAAA